RNAcentral lists this ribosomal RNA (425 nucleotides) under uncultured bacterium. RNAcentral describes it as "partial 16S ribosomal RNA". It matches the Rfam family "Bacterial small subunit ribosomal RNA", at positions 354 to 796 of the family's 1533-position model. The record is from RNAcentral.
GUGGGGAAUCUUGCGCAAUGGGCGAAAGCCUGACGCAGCCAUGCCGCGUGAAUGAUGAAGGUCUUAGGAUUGUAAAAUUCUUUCACCGGGGACGAUAAUGACGGUACCCGGAGAAGAAGCUCCGGCUAACUUCGUGCCAGCAGCCGCGGUAAUACGAAGGGGGCUAGCGUUGCUCGGAAUUACUGGGCGUAAAGGGCGCGUAGGCGGACAGUUUAGUCAGAGGUGAAAGCCCAGGGCUCAACCUUGGAAUUGCCUUUGAUACUGGCUGUCUUGAGUACGGGAGAGGGGAGUGGAACUCCGUGUGUAGAGGUGAAAUUCGUAGAUAUUCGGAAGAACACCAGUUGCGAAGGCGACGCACUGGCCCGUUACUGACGCUGAGGCGCGAAAGCGUGGGGAGCAAACAGGAUUAGAUACCCUUGUAGUCC